CGGUAAUUCCAGCUCCAAUAGCGUAUACUAAAGUUGUUGCAGUUAAAAAGCUCGUAGUUGGAUUUCUGCGGGGACGGAGCGGCCGGUCGCAACUUGCGACUCGAGCUAGCGCUUUCCCCGCAUCCUGCCGCGAACCGUGCUACCAUUAGUUUGGUGGCGCUGGGGAUCGGCUCGAUUACUUUGAGAAAAAUAGAGUGUUCAAAGCAGGCCACACGCCUUGAAUAAGUUAGCAUGGAAUAAUGACUAAGGACUUCGGUUCUAUUUUGUUGGUGUUCGGGACUGAAGUAAUGAUUGAUAGGGACAGUUGGGGCGGUCUGUAUUCCAAAGCGAGAGGUGAAAUUCUUAGACCUUCGGAAGACAAACAGCUGCGAAAGCGUUCCGCAAGGAUGUUCCCUUUGAUCAAGAACGAAAGUUGGGGGAUCGAAGACGAUCAGAUACCGUCGUAGUCUCAACUAUAAACUAUACCAGCUAGGGAUCGGCCAACGUUUAAUUAAUCGACUUGUCGGCACCUUAUGAGAAAUCAAAGCAUCUGGGUUCCGGGGGGAGUAUGGUCGCAAGGCUGAAACUUAAAGGAAUUGACGGAAGGGCACCACCAGCCGUGGAGCCUGUGGCUUAAUUUGACUCAACACGGGAAAACUUACCAGGUCCAGACAUAGGAAGGAUUGACAGAUUGAUAGCUCUUUCUUGAUUCUGUGGGUGGUGGUGCAUGGCCGUUUUUAGUUGGUGGAGUGAUUUGUCUGCUUAAUUGCGUUAACGAACGAGACCCCAGCCUGCUAAAUAGCGCGGCCGAGCUUUGCUCGGUGCGAGCUUCUUAGAGGGACCAUGAUGCGCGAUAGCACAAGGAAGUUUGGGGCAACAACAGGUCUGUGAUGCCCUUAGAUGUUCUGGGCCGCACACGGGCUACACUGGCGCCUGCAACGAGCGUAUCAGCUGGCCCGAGAGGGUCUUGGCUAAUCUUUUGAACCGGCGCCGUGCUUGGGAUUGACCAUUGCAAUUGUUGGUCAUGCAACGAGGAAUGCCUUGUAAACGCGAGUCAUCAGCUCGCAUUGAAUACGUCCCUGCCCUUUGUACACACCGCCCGUCGCUCCUACCGAUGAAUGUUCCGAUGAAAUUUUCGGAGAGCGCCGGAGAACGGGGCUCUGCCUUGCAGAACUGGAGGCUCAAAGUCACUUAAAUCUGAACAUUUCGAGGAAGGAGAAGUCGUAACAAGGUAACC
RNAcentral lists this ribosomal RNA (1216 nucleotides) under uncultured Rhizaria. RNAcentral's name for it is "SSU rRNA". It matches the Rfam family "Eukaryotic small subunit ribosomal RNA", at positions 577 to 1804 of the family's 1831-position model. The record is from RNAcentral.